AACGAACGCUGGCGGCGUGGUUCAGGCAUGCAAGUCGCACGAGUCCCGCAAGGGACUAGUGGCAGAAGGGUUAGUAACACGUGGGCAAUCUACCCUCGAAACGGGGAGUAACAUCGCGAAAGACGGUGCUAAUACCCGAUGAAGUUGUGAUCCGGCAUCGGAAUGCAACCAAAGGUGGCGCAAGCUGCCGAUUGAGGAGGAGCCCGCGGCCUAUCAGCUAGUU
RNAcentral lists this ribosomal RNA (223 nucleotides) under uncultured bacterium. RNAcentral describes it as "partial 16S ribosomal RNA". It matches the Rfam family "Bacterial small subunit ribosomal RNA", at positions 29 to 250 of the family's 1533-position model. The record is from RNAcentral.